Molecule: long non-coding RNA, 1508 nt
Organism: Corapipo altera (White-ruffed manakin)
Lineage: Eukaryota; Metazoa; Chordata; Aves; Passeriformes; Pipridae
Exons: 2
Source: RefSeq, a predicted model, not a curated record
GCGCCGCUGUUGCCAGGGGAGCCGGGGCAGGGGAACGGGACUGGGUUGCGGAGGCCGCUCGGUUCCGCCCGGCCCGGCCCUUCCACGGGAAACGCAGGGGAAACGCCGGCUAGAGAUGGGGACCGCGGAGAGAAGCGGGACCCCGGGAAGAAGCGGCCCCUCCAUGUCGGCCCUUCCGCCCGUGCGGGCCCGCCGGGUACCCUCUCUUGUAACCAAGCUUGGAGCCACCACCCAGCACCCACAGGCAGGAACCAGCCCCGCACACCUCCCUGACCUGUGGGUUAUUACAGCUCCCAACCUCUCCCAACCUGUGGGUUAUUACGGCUCCCUGACCUGUGGGUUACACCUCCUCAGGCCGCAGCAGCCAUGGACAAAGCUCUCAGUCACUUCCCCUCAGUGCCUGCUUGGAAACCACUUCUCUGUUGGCGUGUUACACGUUCGGACGUGACCAGGGCACUUCCAUCACUCACCCCGUUGAGGAGGCAGAGGAAGAACAUCUGAGCGUCCCUUGAAGCUCGGAGGGCUGUGUGACUGAGGUCACUGUUCAUCCCGUGCUUCUGUUUCUAUUCCACCAAAACUCUCACUUAGGCAAACACAGCCUAAAGUCCUGGAAGCUCCCCCUACUCGGCUUUACCCUGGAUGACUUCUCCGAGCCAGUGUCUGAUGUCUGAAAUGCAAUCGCAGUUAUGAAGGUUUGCAUACAAGGCCAUGAACUGUGGGUAACAACAGAGCCACUACCAUUGUAAGAAAAAAAAGACGGAAUAAUGAGAUUAUCGCAGUUUAAAUUACUAAGCAACAGUUUCUCUGACAAUGAACUUAGUAACGCUCUGCCAUCUAUUUAAUCACGCUAAUGAGACAGAACAACUCCACUUAGAUACAAAUUACUCUGCAUUUCAUUUAAAUAAGGGUCAGGGAGCAAAAAGCCACACAAGCCACCACACUUCUGCUGUACAGCACAUCCAGCAAAAGACCUCCUUUGUUUCCAGAAUGGACCCAGGCUUUCUGGCCAUGAGCUGCCAAGGCAGGGCUGCACAGGGCAUCUUGCUCAAACCUCCCACCUCCACUCCCCAACUGCCUGUGUGUGGGCCCAGAGCCUCUCUGGCUUGGGAACAGCUCCUUGGUUUGGAGAGGUGAGCAUUGGUUUACCAAACAGAUUUAGAGGGCAAGAGAUCUCUGAUUUCUCUUUGUUCUAAAGUAAAAGCAUGCACAGUCUCUUGUGUAAGAAACAAUUAUAUCCCCCAGUUCCCACUGCUUAAAAUAUGCCUCUUGUUCAUCAGGCUGACUGUCGAAGCCAAGCAGCACGGCUUGUUGAGAGUCUUCUCAUUUAUCCAGCUGGUGCCAUCAUGAUCAUCUUAAUAUAAAAAUCUGGUUUGGUAUGUGUAUCUCACCAUUUAAAACUGAUGACUUCCCUUGGAUAUUUAAAAAUUUUGUUUCAAAUCCAUGCCUCUUGGGCUGAAGCUGGUUGUGAGAGAGCAGGUCUGUAAUAAACUGAAGAAAAUUGACUGGCA